This 505-nucleotide ribosomal RNA is filed under the name uncultured bacterium. RNAcentral's name for it is "bacterial SSU rRNA". It matches the Rfam family "Bacterial small subunit ribosomal RNA", at positions 18 to 518 of the family's 1533-position model. The record is from RNAcentral.
CCUGGCUUAGGAUGAACGCUAGCGGCAGGCUUAACACAUGCAAGUCGAGGGGCAUCGGGAGUAGCAAUACUGCCGGCGACCGGCGCAAGGGUGCGUAACGCGUGAGCAACAUGCCCGUAUCAGGGGGAUAAUCCAUGGAAACGUGGUCUAAUACCCCAUAGUAAUUAUGUAAGGCAUCUUAUAUAAUUUAAAGCUUUGGUGGAUACGGAUUGGCUCGCGUGACAUUAGCUGGAUGGUAAGGUAACGGCUUACCAUGGCUACGAUGUCUAGGGGUUCUGAGAGGAAGGUCCCCCACACUGGAACUGAGACACGGUCCAGACUCCUACGGGAGGCAGCAGUGAGGAAUAUUGGACAAUGGAUGGAAAUCUGAUCCAGCCAUGCCGCGUGCAAGGAAGACGGCCCUAUGGGUUGUAAACUGCUUUUGUAUGGGAGCAAUAAGGGCUACGUGUAGUCCGAUGAGAGUACCAUACGAAUAAGCACCGGCUAACUCCGUGCCAGCAGCAGC